AACCUCCGCAAUGUGAGAAAUCGCGACGGGGGGAUCCCAAGUGCCAUUCUUAACGGGAUGGCUUUUCAUUAGUGUAAAGAGCUUUUGGAAUAAGAGCUGGGCAAGACCGGUGCCAGCCGCCGCGGUAACACCGGCAGCUCUAGUGGUAACAAUUUUUAUUGGGCCUAAAGCGUCCGUAGCCGGUUUAAUAAGUCUCUGGUGAGAUCCUGUAGCUUAACUGUGGGAAUUGCUGGAGAUACUAUUAGACUUGAGACCGGGAGAGGUUAGAGGUACUCCCAGGGUAGAGGUGAAAUUCUGUAAUCCUGGGAGGACCGCCUGUUGCGAAGGCGUCUAACUGGAACGGUUCUGACGGUGAGGGACGAAAGUUAGGGGCGCGAAACCGGAUUAGAUACCCGGGUAGUCCUAACUGUAAACGAUGCGGACUUGGUGUUGGGGUGGCUUUGAGCUGCUCCAGUGCCGAAGGGAGCUGUUAAGUCCGCCGCCUGGGAAGUACGGUCGCAAGACUGAAACUUAAAGGAAUU
This 521-nucleotide ribosomal RNA is filed under the name uncultured bacterium. RNAcentral describes it as "bacterial SSU rRNA". It matches the Rfam family "Archaeal small subunit ribosomal RNA", at positions 345 to 866 of the family's 1478-position model. The record is from RNAcentral.